Molecule: long non-coding RNA, 1645 nt
Organism: Camelus dromedarius (Arabian camel)
Lineage: Eukaryota; Metazoa; Chordata; Mammalia; Artiodactyla; Camelidae
Exons: 6
Source: RefSeq, a predicted model, not a curated record
CGUGUAUCCUAGUCGGCCUGACCCCGGGAGGCGGGCGUGGUACGUUGGGGGUGGUGGCAGCAGCGGCAGGUUUUCCCAUGGAGCCAGUCCAUUUGCUCCCAUUUCCCCCCAUGGUUUGCCCUGAGGGCUGUCUCUGUUGUCCCAAGUUCGCCGGACGUCCAUCUCCAGGUCAGCCUGCUCCCUAGAGGAGGCCACCGUGAGGUCAGGGGGCAAGAGAGGUGGCUGCUGCGGGGGUAGGUGGCUGCCUUGGGGAGCUGGUGGAUUGGCUCCCGUCUCCCCGAUUGCCUGGUGUGGGAGUGGCCUCUCCUCCCCCAGAUCACCAGACACACCUGUCCCAUUCAACCUGCUGGGGGAGGGGUGCCCUGGGCGGUGCCUUUAAGGUGCGGGGGUGGCGACGGCGGGGGUAGAAGACCUGCAGCGCUGAGCCUGUCAAUUUGCUCUCCUCUUCCCCUCUGCCAAUCCUGGGGGCGUCCUCUGCUGCCCAAGAAGCCGGAUGCCCGUCUCCAGGUCAGCUUGCUCCUGGGAGAAGGGCGCGAUGCGGUCGAAGGGCAGAGGCAGCUGCGAUAUCCGGCUGCCCGUCCUAAUGGGGCCACUUCUUCUCCUCUCCACUGACCUGGCCUGGGGAUGGCCUCUCCCGCGCAAGAUUCGCCUGACACCCCACACCCGGUCAGGUUGCUCCUGGGAGGUGGGCGCGGUGAGAUCAGGUGUUGGAGAGGAGAGAGGGGCUGCCCCUGGCGAGGUGGAGGAUAAGCUCCCAUCUCUCUGGAGGCCUGACGUGGCCGACCCUCGUUCCCAGGUGACAUUUUAGGUUAUUGGGUCACAGAUUGCUGGCACACUCAUCCCUGUUCUCAAAUAUCUUUUAAACUUGGGUGAAGUGAUAAGUAGGGGAAGAUGAUUUACUGAAAGGAAGUCCCCUUUCACAAAAUUGUAUGUGUUUUUGUCUGAGAGAGAGAAAUGGAGACAGACAGAAAGACGAAGAAGCAGAAGAGAGCGCCCUCAGAAGAGAGCUAGUUAAGAAUCCUUGAGAGGUCCCUGUCAUCAUUGUCAGUAUCAUCAUCAUCAUCACCAUCAUCAUGGAACUGAUUCCUCUGGGAGAUUCUAGGAAAAUAAAGAGCCGGACGGGGUUAUGUGAAGCAUCCCAGACUGACGAAGACAGUGGAGAAUGCCUCUGAGUUUGGCACUGAUUGCCUGGAGAAUGCUGAAACCCAGGGAAGUGGGCAGCACAGACGUUUACUCAUUUAAUCCUGCCAACACAGUAGGAGAUAGAGUCCACAUAUUCCUCGCUACUUAAAAGAUCCCUGCCUUCUCUCUGCUCCUCCUGUCCAUGUCUCUUCCUCCACUUUUCCCCUUCUCCCGUCCUCCUCCCAUCUUCUCCGUCCCUUGCUUCCCCACCUUCUCUCACAGAACUCGGAGAGGAUCUCUGGCCAUCCUGCGCAUGCGCAGUCUUUGCCAGCUGGAAUGAGGGUUGGAAGCUCCAGCUCCGAGCCGGGGAUCGGCCCCAAAGGCUGCUCAGCUCUUUCGCCCGGUAGGACAUUUGCUCCUGCCCCGGCGCCCCGGCCACAGCUGUCCAGGGCCAGGUGUGCACCUGCCGCCUCUCGCCCCAGCCGGGCUCCCCUGUGUCCGUGGCUGGCGUCCCUUUCCCCUC